RNAcentral lists this ribosomal RNA (497 nucleotides) under uncultured bacterium. Its description in RNAcentral is "partial 16S ribosomal RNA". It matches the Rfam family "Bacterial small subunit ribosomal RNA", at positions 28 to 507 of the family's 1533-position model. The record is from RNAcentral.
GAUGAACGCUGGCGGCGUGCCUAAUACAUGCAAGUCGAGCGAACAGACGAGGAGCUUUCUCCUCUGACGUUAGCGGCGGACGGGUGAGUAACACGUGGAUAACCUACCUAUAAGACUGGGAUAACUUCGGGAAACCGGAGCUAAUACCGGAUAAUAUAUUGAACCGCAUGGUUCAAUAGUUAAAGACGGUUUUGCUGUCACUUAUAGAUGGAUCCGCGCCGCAUUAGCUAGUUGGUAAGGUAACGGCUUACCAAGGCAACGAUGCGUAGCCGACCUGAGAGGGUGAUCGGCCACACUGGAACUGAGACACGGUCCAGACUCCUACGGGAGGCAGCAGUAGGGAAUCUUCCGCAAUGGGCGAAAGCUUGACGGAGCAACGCCGCGUGAGUGAUGAAGGUCUUCGGAUCGUAAAACUCUGUUAUUAGGGAAGAACAAAUGUGUAAGUAACUAUGCACGUCUUGACGGUACCUAAUCAGAAAGCCACGGCUAACUACGUG